AGUGACUAAUAGUUAAACGGCCGCGGUACCCUAACCGUGCAAAGGUAGCACAAUCACUUGUUCUUUAAAUCAGGACUAGUAUGAACGGCCCCACGAGGGCUGUACUGUCUCCCCCCUCCAAUCAGUGAAACUGACCCCCUCGUGAAGAAGCGAGGAUAAUCUCAUAAGACGAGAAGACCCCAUGGAACUUUAAACUAGCACCACCCCCCCCCCCCC
RNAcentral lists this ribosomal RNA (216 nucleotides) under Stumpffia lynnae. RNAcentral describes it as "partial large subunit ribosomal RNA". It matches the Rfam family "Bacterial large subunit ribosomal RNA", at positions 1865 to 2127 of the family's 2925-position model. The record is from RNAcentral. Lineage: Eukaryota; Metazoa; Chordata; Amphibia; Anura; Microhylidae.